RNAcentral lists this ribosomal RNA (1023 nucleotides) under Triticum aestivum (bread wheat). Its description in RNAcentral is "partial small subunit ribosomal RNA". The record is from RNAcentral. Lineage: Eukaryota; Viridiplantae; Streptophyta; Magnoliopsida; Poales; Poaceae.
AUGAUACUGGGAGGAUCGACCUGCUGCUGCUUCACCCAGCUGCAUCCCGCCGCCGCCGCCAGGCUGCGCUUGCCGCCGGCUCGCGCCGCGAACACCUCCUCCGAGCCGACCGCCGCGCGCCUGAGGGCGGUGCUCGAGCAGGUGGACGACGAGCUGCGGAAGGGGAACGACGAGGCCGCGCUGUCCCUCGUGCGCGGCUCGCAGGGGGAGGGCGGCGGGCUCCGGUGCUUUGGCGCCGCGAGGCAGGUACCUCAAAGGCUUUAUAAACUAGAUGAGCUUAAGCUAAAUGGGAUCGAUACUUCUUCUUUCCUAUCUCCUGUGGAUCAGACUUUGGGAUCAAUUGAGAGAAAUCUCCAAAUUGCCGCGCUUCUUGGAGGGCUUUCUGUUUCAUUUGCGUUUGAGCUGUCUCAACUCCAAGCUCUGCUUACCUUUGUAGGCCUGCUAUUCGUGUGGUCUGUUGAUUUGAUAUAUUACAAUGGAGGGGCGAGAAACUUGGUUCUUGACACAAUUGCUCACAGUCUCAGCGAGAAGUACCACAACAGAGUUAUUGAGCAUGAAGCUGGUCACUUCUUGAUAGCAUACUUGCUUGGAGUGCUUCCGAAGGAAUAUACUAUCACAUGUUUAGAUACACUUAUGAAACAAGGAUCACUGAACGUGCAAGCUGGGACAGCUUUUGUGGACUUUGAGUUUGUUGAAGAGAUCAAUACAGGCAAACUGUCUGCGAAGAUGCUGAACAAGUUCUCAUGUAUUGCACUGGCCGGAGUAGCAACUGAAUAUCUUCUGUACGGAUACGCCGAAGGAGGACUAGAUGACGUUAACAAGUUGGAUGGACUGUUCAAGAGCCUGGGUUUUACCCAGAACAAAGCUGAUUCACAGGUGAGGUGGGCUGUGCUAAACAUCGUUCUGAUCCUGCGCCGCCAUGAAAAGGCUAGAUCGAAGCUUAAGGAGGCAAUGUCUUCUGGGAGGUCAGUUGGAUCUUGCAUCGAGGUCAUAGAAGAGAACAUAAACCCCGAGGAUAUUUGA